ACUCCUACGGGAGGCAGCAGUGAGGAAUAUUGGUCAAUGGGCGCAAGCCUGAACCAGCCAUGCCGCGUGCAGGAAGACUGCCCCUAUGGGUUGUAAACUGCUUUUAUACAGGAAGAAACACUCCCUCGUGAGGGAGCUUGACGGUACUGUAAGAAUAAGGAUCGGCUAACUCCGUGCCAGCAGCCGCGGUAAUACGGAGGAUCCAAGCGUUAUCCGGAAUCAUUGGGUUUAAAGGGUCCGUAGGUGGAUUAGUAAGUCAGAGGUGAAAUCCUGCAGCUCAACUGUAGAACUGCCUUUGAUACUGCUAGUCUUGAGUCAUUAUGAAGUGGUUAGAAUGUGUAGUGUAGCGGUGAAAUGCAUAGAUAUUACACAGAAUACCGAUUGCGAAGGCAGAUCACUAAUAAUGUACUGACACUGAUGGACGAAGCGUGGGGAGCGAACAGGAUUAGAUACCCUGGUAGCGACUGA
Molecule: ribosomal RNA, 468 nt
Filed under: uncultured bacterium
Lineage: Bacteria
Description: bacterial SSU rRNA
Rfam family: Bacterial small subunit ribosomal RNA
Source: RNAcentral